AUUGAACGCUGGCGGCAUGCUUUACACAUGCAAGUCGAACGGUAACAGGCCUUCGGGUGCUGACGAGUGGCAAACGGGUGAGUAAUGCAUCGGAACGUACCCAGAGGUGGGGGAUAACGCAGCGAAAGCUGUGCUAAUACCGCAGGUGAUCUGAGGAUGAAAGCGGGGGACCGAGCAGCAAUGUUUGGCCUCGCGCCUUUGGAGCGGCCGAUGUCGGAUUAGCUAGUUGGUGGGGUAAAGGCCUACCAAGGCGACGAUCCGUAGCUGGUCUGAGAGGACGACCAGCCACACUGGGACUGAGACACGGCCCAGACUCCUCCGGGAGGCAGCAGUGGGGAAUUUUGGACAAUGGGCGCAAGCCUGAUCCAGCAAUGCCGCGUGCGGGAAGAAGGCCUUCGGGUUGUAAACCGCUUUUGGCAGGAACGAAACGGUGUCCGCUAAUACCGGGCGCUAAUGACGGUACCUGCAGAAUAAGCACCGGCUAACUACGUG
Molecule: ribosomal RNA, 492 nt
Filed under: uncultured bacterium
Lineage: Bacteria
Description: partial 16S ribosomal RNA
Rfam family: Bacterial small subunit ribosomal RNA
Source: RNAcentral